AUAUAAGAUAUUAUAAAAACACUCCAAAAAUGAUUUAUAUUUUUGAACAACAAAAACUAAAAGCAACCAAUAACUUAAUAUUAGUUCACUAACAAAAUACUCUAGCGACGAAACAGUGAACCAUUUAUCUCACUAAGACGUAACAUACAAUAUGUUGAACAUUAAUCUCUAUCUAGAAAAGAUAGUGUCUAAGGAAUAAAUUUGCGAGGACAGGCGAAUGGAGAAGUUUGUAAGAAUUGUCACGAAGAAUGGAUAGGUGGUCGUCCAUAAAUGGGAUUCGCUAAAAAUCGAUAUUGAAGUUCUUGCAUUGUGAAAAUUGCGAUAAAAGGAAUAAAACUACGCUCUAUUAAAUCAGCUUGUUAUUAAAAUAAUCGAUAAAAUAAAAAUAACAUUAAAAUUGAAGGGAAUUUUUAUAUAUCAAAAUAUCAUGUUCCUGAUUUUUUUGGAUUUGAAAGUUCUUAACGAUUAUUGAACGAAUAUCCUUAUCAUCCCACGUAAAGGUAUAAACUAAAUGAUGCAGACGUGAGUUAAAGAUCGAUAAAACGACUACAAUGAGUCUCCAUUCAAUAGACGUCGUAAACAAGCGCCGCGCGCGCGUACACAAAUUAACAUACCAAUAUUGCAAUCUCAAUUAACAGAUUAUCGAUAUCGUAAAUCGAUUUUUUCUUCUUUUUACAUUUUACUGAGUUACAAUAUUAUCUUUCUUUAAAUUUCUCAAGAAAGAUAUAUACAUAAAUAAGAA
RNAcentral lists this long non-coding RNA (742 nucleotides) under Apis mellifera (honey bee). RNAcentral describes it as "uncharacterized LOC102653822, transcript variant X2". The record is from RNAcentral. Lineage: Eukaryota; Metazoa; Arthropoda; Insecta; Hymenoptera; Apidae.